This 450-nucleotide ribosomal RNA is filed under the name uncultured bacterium. Its description in RNAcentral is "bacterial SSU rRNA". It matches the Rfam family "Bacterial small subunit ribosomal RNA", at positions 354 to 796 of the family's 1533-position model. The record is from RNAcentral.
GUGGGGAAUAUUGGACAAUGGGCGAAAGCCUGAUCCAGCCAUGCCGCGUGUGUGAAGAAGGUCUUCGGAUUGUAAAGCACUUUAAGUUGGGAGGAAGGGCAGUAAGUUAAUACCUUGCUGUUUUGACGUUACCGACAGAAUAAGCACCGGCUAACUUCGUGCCAGCAGCCGCGGUAAUACGAAGGGUGCAAGCGUUAAUCGGAAUUACUGGGCGUAAAGCGCGAGUAGGUGGUUUUGUAAGUUGGAGGUGAAAUCCCCGGGCUCAACCUGGGAACUGCCUCCAAAACUGCAUGACUAGAGUACGGUAGAGGGUAGUGGAAUUUCCUGUGUAGCGGUGAAAUGCGUAGAUAUAGGAAGGAACACCAGUGGCGAAGGCGACUACCUGGACUGAUACUGACACUGAGGUGCGAAAGCGUGGGGAGCAAACAGGAUUAGAUACCCCAGUAGUCC